GGCAAUCUUCACACAACCCAUGUAAUACAUAAGGGAAAGAGAUACAUAGUUGGCUUACAAUCGCCACUUCACACAAUUACAAGAAUAAAGCAAUACAUCAUCCAAGUACAAUCAGGGCCCGACUACGGAGCCAAAAUAAAAGAAGAACCCCAAAUGCGACAAGGUCCCCGAUCGACCCCAACUGGGCUUCACUACUGAUCAACUAGAACGAAACAACACAAAGGACAAGAUCUUCAUCGAGCUCCUCCCGACCUUGGCUGCGUCAUCUGCACGGCUCAACGACACCUGCAAGCUGGUUUUGGAAGUAUCUGUGAGUCACGGGGACUCAGCAAUCUCGCACCCUCGCGAUCAAGACUAUUUAAGCUUAUGGGUAAGGUAAAGGUAUGAGGUGGAGCUGCAGCAAGCGACUAGCAUAUAUGGUGGCUAACAUAUUCGCAAAAGAGAGCGAGAAGAGAAGGCAAAGCGCGGUCGAGAAACUAUGAUCAAGAAGUGAUCCUAGAACAACCUACGUCAAGCAUAACUCCAACACCGUGUUCACUUCCCGGACUCCGCCGGAAAGAGACCAUCACGGUUACACACGCGGUUGAUACAUUUUAAUUAAGAUAAACUUCAGGUUUUCUACAACCAGACAUUAACAAAUUCCCAUCUGCCCAUAACCGCGGGCACGGCUUUCGAAAGUUCAAAUCCCUGCAGGGGUGUCCCAACUUAGCCCAUCACAAGCUCUCACGGUCAACGAAGGAUAUUCCUUCUAGCGGGAAGACCCGAUCAGACUCGGAAUCCCGGUUACAGGACAUUUCGACAAUGGUAAAACAAGACCAGCAAAGCCACCCGAAUGUGCCGACAAAUCCCGAUAGGAGCUGCACAUAUCUCGUUCUCAGGGCACACCGGAUUGUCCAAACUUCCGAUAGGCCAGCCCAGAGUUUCCCCUGGUGGCCACCGGCGGCUGACAAGGUGGACCAACACUUAGAGGAGCACUGGCCCGGGGGUUUAAUAAAGAUGACCCUUGAGCCGGCCGACUCAAGGGAAAGAAAAGGCUAGGUGGCAAAUGGUAAAACCAAUGUUGGGCCUUGCUGGAGGAGUUUUAUUCAAGGCGAACUGUCAAGGGAUUCCCAUUAUUACCCAACCGCGUAAGAAACGCAAAAUCCAGAAACAUAACAUCGAUAUGACGGAAACUAAGGCGGCAAGAGUGGAACAAAACACCAGGCAUAAGGCCGAGCCUUCCACCCUUUACCAAGUAUAUAGAUGCAUUAAUUAAAUAAGAUAUAUUGUGAUAUCCCAACAAGUAAACAUGUUCCAAACAAGGAACAACAUCUCCAUAUUCCAACAAGGAACAAACUUCAAUCUUCAUCUGCACUAACAACGCUAUAAGAGGGGCUGAGCAAAGCGGUAACAUAGCCAAACAACGGUUUUCUAGGACAAGGUGGGUUAGAGGCUUGGUUCAACAAUAUAGGAGGCAUGAUAAGCAAGUGGUAGGUAUCGCAGCGUAGGCAUAGCAAAAGAGAGAGCCCUAAGCAAGCAAAGAUAGAAGUGAUUUCGAGGGUAUGAUCAUCUUGCCUGAGAUCCCGCAAGGAAGAAGAACGAGUCCAUGAAGAAGUCAAACGGACGAAGUUGAACGAAUCCUCACAACUCCGGAACGGAACCGAAGCUCACGAGAAAGGCAACCCAGAAAGAAGCAAACAACAUAGUAAACAACCAACACAUAGACAUGGCAUGAUGCACAACAAGUAUGAUGCAUGCCCGGUUUAAAUAUGCAUGACAUGGCAAAGUGCAAUAGCCAAAACUACAAAUUAAGUGGAGCUCAAUAUGCAACGGGUUGCAUAUUGAUGGAACACCACAUCAAUUAUUUAGUUCUCUCUCGUUUAUGUACCCAACAAGGUUAAAUGUUGUUAGCAUGGCAAGAGGUGAAGCAAGAUGAAACUAUCUAAUCUAGGAAAGUUUAAAUGAGGCCGGAAACAACAAACAACAAUUCCGGGAAAACCACAUAUGCAUAUAUUAAGUUUGGUACUGUUCUGCCCUAAACAUAGUUUUAGAGUUGUUGAGCAUGCAAAGUGAAGCCACCAUGUUAAACUAGGCAAAAUUCUACCCCAUUUACAUAUAAAAUUUAUUAAAAUCCGAGCUACGGUUAGUUAGUUAUGAAUUAAAGCAUUUUAGCAUGUCCAUAUAGCAAAUUUAAACAAACAUCAUUUUAAACAUGUCAAACAUGGAUGAAGGUUGGAAAUUAUUAAUCUACACAAAAUUCCACGCAAGUUUCAUAUAUUAAGUUUUUUACAUUUGAUGCAUGGUUGGUGAAUUAUUAAAUGCAUGAAGUGCAAGGGGCUUUUCUAAAAAACUGCAGUCUCUGGAAUAAAUGGCAAAAUCAUAGCAGCAGGGAAAAAACAUUACAUGGGCCGAAACUGAGCAGAGGUCCAACAGAACAAAAAAAAGGAGGCGCUGGGACUGCUCACAUCGGGCCUUGGCCCAGCUGGAGGAG
This 2470-nucleotide long non-coding RNA is filed under the name Triticum aestivum (bread wheat). RNAcentral's name for it is "long non-coding RNA (TAES_LNC010839)". The record is from RNAcentral. Lineage: Eukaryota; Viridiplantae; Streptophyta; Magnoliopsida; Poales; Poaceae.